Molecule: ribosomal RNA, 385 nt
Filed under: uncultured bacterium
Lineage: Bacteria
Description: bacterial SSU rRNA
Rfam family: Bacterial small subunit ribosomal RNA
Source: RNAcentral
UCGGGAAUUUUGGGCAAUGGGCGAAAGCCUGACCCAGCAACGCCGCGUGAAGGAUGAAGUAUUUCGGUAUGUAAACUUCGAAAGAAUGGGAAGAAUAAAUGACGGUACCAUUUAUAAGGUCCGGCUAACUACGUGCCAGCAGCCGCGGUAAUACGUAGGGACCAAGCGUUGUUCGGAUUUACUGGGCGUAAAGGGCGCGUAGGCGGCGUGUUAAGUCAGCUGUGAAAUCUCCGAGCUUAACUCGGAACGGUCAGCUGAUACUGAUGUGCUAGAGUGCAGAAGGGGCAAUCGGAAUUCUUGGUGUAGCGGUGAAAUGCGUAGAUAUCAAGAGGAACACCUGAGGUGAAGACGGGUUGCUGGGCUGACACUGACGCUGAGGCGCGAA